This 403-nucleotide ribosomal RNA is filed under the name uncultured bacterium. RNAcentral's name for it is "bacterial SSU rRNA". It matches the Rfam family "Bacterial small subunit ribosomal RNA", at positions 355 to 774 of the family's 1533-position model. The record is from RNAcentral.
UGGGGAAUAUUGCGCAAUGGGGGCAACCCUGACGCAGCAACGCCGCGUGAUUGAAGAAGGCCUUCGGGUUGUAAAGAUCUUUAAUCAGGGACGAAAUUUGACGGUACCUGAAGAAUAAGCUCCGGCUAACUACGUGCCAGCAGCCGCGGUAAUACGUAGGGAGCAAGCGUUAUCCGGAUUUACUGGGUGUAAAGGGCGAGUAGGCGGGCUGGUAAGUUGGAAGUGAAAUCCCGGGGCUUAACCCCGGAACUGCUUUCAAAACUGCUGGUCUUGAGUGAUGGAGAGGCAGGCGGAAUUCCCAGUGUAGCGGUGAAAUGCGUAGAUAUUGGGAGGAACACCAGUGGCGAAGGCGGCCUGCUGGACAUUAACUGACGCUGAGGAGCGAAAGCGUGGGGAGCAAACA